This is an RNA transcript of Anopheles gambiae (African malaria mosquito), 5204 nucleotides long. It is a transcript of the gene named axoneme-associated protein mst101(2), with no coding region annotated. The transcript is spliced from 7 exons. Lineage: Eukaryota; Metazoa; Arthropoda; Insecta; Diptera; Culicidae. The record is from RefSeq and is a predicted model, not a curated record.
AACGAUCCGCACUGGCGAGGUUCGUUCUCAGUCCCAGCUGAACCACCGUCACGGAAUAACCGUCUGCGCAGUGUUCUAAAGUUAACUCACGUGAAGAAAGUAAACCACACAGUAGAGAAGAAGAGACAGAGAGAGAUAGAGAGAGAGAGCGAGCGAACAAGUGAAAAGGGAUCGAGUGUUGGAUCCAUAGUGAAAUUGCUAAAGUUAAAAGUGUAAAAGGGAGAAUUACAACAUAAAUUCCAAAAGAAACGAGUAAAAACAUCCCUCCAGCACCCUAGCGCUUGAAGUGGACAGUAAUGGCGAAGAAAGGGAAGGCUAAAAAUGGGGCAGCCCCCGGUGAAGGAGAACAAGUGGCUGCGCCGGCGGCUCCAGCAGCUGUCAAUGCACCGGCGGCAGCAGCAGCAGCAGUAACAGCCGUUCCGGCACGACCAGUCGAGAAGCAGGCCGCUCCCGUGCAGCAGCCUGCAGCCAAAGAGGUGAAGCUCGAGGUGAAGCCCGCCCAGCAGGCAAAUGGUGCCGCUGUACAGAACGGUGCCGAAGCCGGUGCCGAGCAAGGCGAACUGAGACGCAAGCGAAGCCGGCGCGGAGCUCGCAACGAUAAGAAGAAGUCGGACAAGGACGAUCAGUCGAAGGCGCCCUCGAACCUGACGGCGCGCAAGAAUCUGCGCAAAAAGCGCAGCAAGCUGAUGCGCAUGCUGGAGCAGGCCGAGGCGGGCCCAGCGGCCCCGCCCGCUGCCGAUGGGGCACCGGUGCAGACGCCGGAAGAAAUUCGCAAGAAGAUCGAGAUCGUCGAAAACUUGCUGCAGCUGCUGCAGGCCCAAACGCAGGAAGAGCGCAAGAAGAUAGAAAGCCUCAAGAAGGCACAGUCGGCGGAACAGCAGGAGGCGGCCGCGAAGAAGGCGGAACAGCCGCCGCAGAAGACGGCGGCGGCGGCACCCGGUUCGCCCAAGAGCCUGACCACGGAAAAGGCGCGCAAGGAGGCGGAGGCGAAGAAGCUGGCCGGCGAGAAGGCGGAAAUCCAGAACGAGGCGAAGCGGCUGGCACAGGAAAAGGCACGCAAGGAGCAGGAGAUGAAGAAGCUGAUCGCGGAGAAGGCGAAAAAGGACGCGGAGGCAAAGCAGCUGCUGGAGGAGAAGGCGGCCCGCGAAGCGGAACUGGCCAAGCUGACGCAGGCGCAGGCACGCAUCGAAACGGUGGAGCAGAAGAUUAACCAGCUCGACCAGAAGGUGCAGCAGCGAAAGGAGGCGGAAGAGCCGAAGGUGGCGGCUGCGCCAGUGCCGGCGGCGGCAGCGGCGGCUCCUGGUAGUCCGAAACAGAAGAAGGAUCAGGCGCGCACGCGCAAGGAUUCGGAAUCGAGCAAGAAGAAGGAGGCAGAAGAUAAGGCGAAGAAGGAUGCGGAAGAGAAGGCCAAGAAGGAGGCGGCUGAAAAGGCAAAGAAGGAAGCGGAGGAGAAGGCCAAGAAGGAAGCGGCUGAGAAGGCCAAGAAGGAAGCGGAAGAAAAGGCUAAGAAGGAGGCGGCUGAAAAGGCCAAGAAGGAAGCGGAGGAGAAGGCCAAGAAGGAAGCGGCUGAAAAGGCGAAGAAGGAAGCUGAAGAGAAGGCCAAGAAGGAGGCGGCUGAAAAGGCGAAGAAGGAGGCCGAAGAGAAGGCGAAGAAGGAGGCCGCUGAAAAGGCGAAGAAGGAAGCGGAGGAGAAGGCCAAGAAGGAGGCGGCUGAAAAGGCCAAGAAGGAAGCGGAGGAGAAGGCCAAGAAGGAAGCGGCUGAAAAGGCGAAGAAGGAGGCCGAAGAGAAGGCAAAGAAGGAGGCGGCUGAAAAGGCCAAGAAGGAAGCGGAGGAGAAGGCCAAGAAAGAGGCGGCUGAAAAGGCGAAGAAGGAGGCCGAAGAAAAGGCCAAGAUGGAGGCGGCUGAAAAGGCCAAGAAGGAAGCGGAGGAGAAGGCCAAGAAGGAAGCGGCUGAAAAGGCGAAGAAGGAAGCUGAAGAGAAGGCCAAGAAGGAGGCGGCUGAAAAGGCGAAAAAAGAAGCAGAGGAGAAGGCGAAGAAGGAGGCUGCAGAAAAGGCCAAGAAGGAGGCGGAAGAAAAGGCUAAGAAGGAAGCGGACGAAAAGGCUAAGAAGGAGGCGGCCGAAAAGGCGAAACAGGAGGCGGCUGAAAAGGCGAAAAAGCAAGCAGAAGAGGAAGCAAAGCGGAAAACGAACGGCGAAGCGGCGAAACAGGCCAACGGAUCGGCAGCGGCGGCCGCCCCAGCACAGGAAAAACCGGCCACCUCGAAGCAGGACGCCAAAAACAAUAAAAAGAACAACAAACGCACCCCCAAAAACAGUGUGUCGGAGGAUGACAAGAGCACAGCCAAAGCGACCGGUCCAAAAAACGGACCGGGCGGCGAUUUUGCCUCCUCUGCUGAACCCGCCAUGGUAGCAAAAUCGCAGGAAAGCCACUCAGCACCAGUCCCCGUCCCGCCGAAGACCGCCGAAGCUGCUCCUGCCUCCCCGAAACCCUCCCCGAAAGCCAACGCCGGCAAUAAACAGGCCGCAGCCGCCGCCCCAGUGAACGGCAAGCAACAGACACCACCGACCAAGACGCCCGAAAAGACGCCCGCCCAGCCAAAGACGGCCGCCCGAUCGUCACCGCCAAAGACCACGGCGAAGGCACCUUCUCCACCGAAAACGGCACCGGCGGCCGCUGCCCGUGCCGCACCCGCCAAACCCACCACACCACCCGCGUCAAAGAAACCGGAACCGCCGCCCAAGCCCGAAUUCCUCAAGAAGAAGUCACCCUCGGUCGAGAAGGAAAAGGUCGUGAAGGCGGCAGCACCGCAACAGGCCUCUCAGCCCCCUGCAGCGACAGCCACCCCGCCCAGCUCAGCAACACCUGCCACACCUGCCCCUGCCACCACCGUUCCAGCAACUCCUGUCUCAACACCUGCACCUCAGGCGGCUGCGGCAGCACCUCCCGCCCAGGAAGGUGCCGCCGUGUCGGCCCGCCUCACCGAGGAAGCCCUGAACGGGGCGAAGAAACCUGCCACUGCCGGCACUGCCAACAAGCCGAAACCGGCGCAGAAGAAGCCGGACGUGCCGCCGAAGCCGGACGUGCACAGCAAGAGCGCGGCCAAGAUGAAGACCCCGAUCAAGCAGCCGGGCGGCAAGGCGGCCAGCUCCACGUCUGAUUCCAGGUCGGCAGCGGCAGCGGAGCUAAGUAGAACGGAAGCAUUUAAGAAAAACAUGGACAUUAUAUCGACCAUCGCGGACGUGCUGUUGUCCUGCUCGCGCUCGAAGAAGAACCGCACCGCGGAGCGGCCGGCGGCUAACGCGCCCGAACCGCCUACCACUAACACAAGCAGUAGUUCACCUUCCUCAUCUUCCAAUACUAAUAGCACUACCACCACCACCACCAGUCUUGAUCCAUCUCUGCCCUCAUCGGCAUCACUCUUAUCAUCCCUAUUUCCAACGCUUUCGCAAUCACCCGGCCCGUCCGGCGGCUCGUCCGAUCAAGCAUCCUCAUCCACGUCCGCUGGCGAAACUGCGCACAGCAAGAAGUCCAAGCUGGACGUGGAACGCAUCCUGCGCAUACUGCAAGCCGGCCAGACGCCGUCCACAUCUUCAGCUUCGUCGGACCCAUCUGCAUCCUUGCUGCAGCAGCUCCCACCGGAGCUGCUAGCCGGAGGUCCCGAGGGUGAAGAAAAUCCGCUCGGAUCGUUUCUAACCAAAGAUGCCAUCCGCAUGCUGAUGCCAACUCUGCAGGAGGUGAACCACAAGUUUAACGUGGAAAAGCAACUGCACGCGCUCAAUGCGACGGCGGCGAUGGCGAAGAUAAUGCCAAAAACCCUACCGCCCGGCACGGACACGACCGAGGAGGACGAGCUGGAGGAGGAUCUGCUGGACGAGGAGGAGGAAGAUACGAUCGAGUACAAGUUCACACCGCGCCCGGUCUUCAUAGCAACGAUCUGUCAGGUGUGUAAGAACCCGCUGAAGAGUUUCGUCCACUGCGAGCGCUGCAAGAUGGUAUCGUACUGUGGCGAAGAACAUCGGCGCACGGAUCAACCGGCCCAUCGUGAACUGUGUGCGGUGCUGUGUGAAGUAGCCGGCAACAGAGGAGGACACAUUUACCAGCUGGCCCGGAAGCUGAACGUGCCCGAGUAUCGCAAUCUGCGCGUUCACACGCUCAACCAGAUCGAGCUCGCGCUCAAGCGCCCCAUGCAAGCGUACGAACGGGAGAUUGUACUGUUUCCACGCAUCUGCCUAACGCCCGAGUGCCGCGAAUGGCGGCAGGAGCUGCUGACGGAGUGUACCGACUGUCGGCAGGUUUCGUACUGUGCGGACAAUCCUGCACAUCUGCCCGCUUCCCAUCGGCGCUGGUGCAAGGCGUACCUGCUCUUCCAGAAGCUGAUCCUGCGGCAGCGCAUCCUGGGGCGGAUCGAGCCCGUGCUGCCGUCACGCAUCCUCUCGAAACCGGCCCCACUGCCGGCUAACAUUGACGAAGCGUUCAAACAACUGUACAAAAACUCGACUGUGCCUCGGGAUGAAUGUGUCUACGCCGUACUGUCGCAGAUAGCGACCGCGCCGCUGUCCGCACUGUAUGCGUACCAGCAGACAGGUCUACCGUUCGGCAGCACAUUCACGAUCCAUCUCGUCGGGGCCGAGCUACAGUUCGAGGGCGACACACUGGACAAGUGGGAAGCGUUCUUCCUUCACCUCGUACCGGAGGUCGCCGUACUGCGCGUCGUGUUCGUCGGUCCGGAGCUGAACGUCGAGAAUCUGCCGAUCGAUGUCAUCAGUCGCAUUAGAAUGUGCCGGACCUGCCGGUUGAAGUGCCGCGUGGUAGCGUUCGACUUCCAGUGUCGCACCAUGUACCACCAUGUACUACCGGCACAGCUCGCGCUACCAGCGACCGAAUCUCAUCUGCUUCUUCAACCCGGGACUUCACCGUACGACCGGGUUUGCCGGGCAGGACAGCUGGCCGGUAACAAUUCAUGCCGCAACGGAGGCAGGCUGCCCAAUGCUGGUGACCGCCUACACCGAGCUGGAGUCUCCCCUCGAUCUGGACCGGCUGCAGCGUGAGUCGACGCGUGCCCUUCAGGUCGUUCAGCCACCGACGGUCAAUCCGUACGGUUCCAAGCGCCCCGAUCGUAACUUCAUUUCGGACGAUACUGCUCCGAUGAUCUUCAAGAACUACUACUACUUCAUAGUGAAAUAGAGUGCGAGAUAAAGAGA